CGGAUAAGUCCUAACGGAGAAAGUUUUAACGCCGAAAGAUGAGCCCGCAUUUGAUUAGCUUGUUGGUGAGGUAAAAGCUCACCAAGGCAAUGAUCAAUAGCUGAUUUGAGAGGAUGAUCAGCCACACUGGGACUGAGACACGGCCCAGACUCCUACGGGAGGCAGCAGUGGGGAAUCUUGCACAAUGGAGGAAACUCUGAUGCAGCGAUGCCGCGUGAGUGAAGAAGGCCUUUGGGUUGUAAAGUUCUUUUGUCGGGAAAGAUAAUGACUGUACCCGAAGAAUAAGGUCCGGCUAACUUCGUGCCAGCAGCCGCGGUAAUACGAAGGGACCUAGCGUAGUUCGGAAUUACUGGGCGUAAAGCGCGCGUAGGCGGUUAUGUAAGUUAAUUGUGAAAGCCCAAAGCUCAACUUUGGAACUGCAAUUAAAACUAUUUAGCUAGAGUUUGAUAGAGGAAAGCGGAAUACAUAGUGUAGAGGUGAAAUUCGUAGAUAUUAUGUAGAGCACCAGUUGCGAAGGCGGCUUUCUGGAUCAUUACUGACGCUGAGGUGCGAAAGUAUGGGUAGCGAAGAGGAUUAGAUACCCUCGUGGUCCAUACUGUAAACAAUGAUUGUUAGAUGUAAGAAAUUUAUUUUUUGUAUCACAGCUAACGCGUUAAACAAUCCGCCUGGGGAGUACGACCGCA
RNAcentral lists this ribosomal RNA (683 nucleotides) under uncultured bacterium. RNAcentral describes it as "bacterial SSU rRNA". It matches the Rfam family "Bacterial small subunit ribosomal RNA", at positions 170 to 890 of the family's 1533-position model. The record is from RNAcentral.